CCUACGGGGUGCAGCAGGCGCGAAAACUUUACAAUGCUGGCAACAGCGAUAAGGGAACCUCGAGUGCCAGGUUACAAAUCUGGCUGUCGUGAUGCCUAAAAAGCAUUGCAUAGCAAGGGCCGGGCAAGACCGGUGCCAGCCGCCGCGGUAACACCGGCGGCUCGAGUGGUAACCGUUAUUAUUGGGUCUAAAGGGUCUGUAGCCGGCCGGAUAAGUCUCUUGGGAAAUCUGGCAGCUCAACUGUCAGGCUUUCAGGAGAUACUGUCUGGCUCGAGGCCGGGAGAGGUGAGAGGUACUUCAGGGGUAGGGGUGAAAUCUUGUAAUCCUUGAAGGACCACCAGUGGCGAAGGCGUCUCACCAGAACGGACCUGACGGCAAGGGACGAAAGCUAGGGGCACGAACCGGAUUAGAUACCCGGGUAGUCCUAGCCGUAAACGAUACUCGCUAGGUGUCGGCCACGGUGCGACCGUUGUCGGUGCCGUAGGGAAGCCGUGAAGCGAGC
Molecule: ribosomal RNA, 502 nt
Filed under: uncultured archaeon
Lineage: Archaea
Description: bacterial SSU rRNA
Rfam family: Archaeal small subunit ribosomal RNA
Source: RNAcentral